AGUAUACCCGACUCCGCCCACUUCUCCCCCGAAGUAGACCUGACUCCGCCCACUUCUUCGCCGAAUUAGACCUGGCUCCGCCCACUUCUUCCCCGAAGUAGACCUGACUCCGCCCACUUCUUCCCCAAAGUAGACCUGACUCCGCCCACUUCUUCCCCAAAGUAGACCUUGUGAGCAUCAUAGAUUUGCAUGUUUCGCUCUCUGAUCGGAUUGUCUGAAUUCACUAGUUGAGUGUCAAUCACAGAAGAAAAAAAACAUUGAUGAAAAUACAUUUUGAGAAUAUGUGAAUCCCUCGUCCGAUUCCCUGACCCCUGCCAAAGACAUAGAAUGUGUAUAGGGCAAAGAUUAAAGCUUUGCCUGUUCCACUGAUAUGGAUUCAGCUAACAAAUAUGGAAACUCCAAUGUUCACACCAGUCUCAUACUUUUAAAUCCAUGACGGGAAGAGUGAACUUGCACACUUGGGAAAGGGUUGGGAAUCGGGACCUCAGUCUCAGGCACCUUAUUACCAGUUUGAUAUUUUGUUAUUGAUCCAAGUGGAUGAGGACAUGAUUGGGACAUAUGAAGAGAGACUGGAGGCUGCAGUAAUGUUGAGAUACCAGUAGGGGGAGCUCUAGUCUAGAACACUGGAACCUUCAGUAGCACUUUGAUGGAGAUGAUGAGGAGUGAGGGGUACAUUAUGCGAGGAAACACAUUCAGAAACCAUAUAGAACAGUCAACACUUGUUAUGGAUCUGUAUUUAAAGAAAAGACUACAUUGGAAAUGGGCUGCAUUUAGCCCCUUUAAAACAUGUAGGCCCAUCUCCUCAAAUGAAGAAAUGUAAAUAGCUAUGCAGUCUUUAGCAGUACAUCCAGUACAUCCCUUUCUGACAUGCUGUUGAUGCAUGUGGUUGUCUUAAAUCCCUGACUAGGCUACUUUCACAAUGUGUCAGUCACUAAAAUCACACUUCUUCUUUCUAUACACAGCUACGACGAUAAGUUGACUCACUGUACAAGAUCUUUCACUCUAAUGCAGGGUGGGAGAUGCAACAAUGGUCUUGAGAACAGCAGGAAGUGUGUUGGGGGUCUUUGUCUGGUCUGUAGCAGUGUUACUGGGUCAGGAUAGCAGGAGUGUGACGUACAUCACUCAGAGUAUCUGUACCUUGAAGGGGUCAACAGUGGAGAUGUCCUGCUCUUACACAUAUCCCAGUGGCUAUACAAUCACAACAACCUUCUGGUUCAC
Molecule: non-coding RNA, 1218 nt
Organism: Oncorhynchus mykiss (rainbow trout)
Lineage: Eukaryota; Metazoa; Chordata; Actinopteri; Salmoniformes; Salmonidae
Source: RefSeq, a predicted model, not a curated record